This 434-nucleotide long non-coding RNA is filed under the name Gallus gallus (chicken). Lineage: Eukaryota; Metazoa; Chordata; Aves; Galliformes; Phasianidae. The record is from RNAcentral.
UAACAGGAGAUGCUUCUUCAAUAUGGUGUCUCAGUAAAUUGGAAUUCUGCAAAAUAUACAGACAUGAAAAUCUUUAUGCACAUCAUUUGCUUCACUGGAACAGUGAUUAUUAUUCAACAGUUAGAAAGGUGCCUUUCAUGCUAGUGGUUGCUCUGUCGAGGUCUAUAAGCUCCAAGUGAGACCCACGGAGAAUAAUGUUGACUUCUUCUGUGUGAUGACACUGACCAUAACAACAUUUUGCUUCAAAAGAGAUGUCUGAAAGUCUUCAGAAAGUGAGUUGCAUGGGUAAGUCUCAAAUGGCUGUCAGCUUCAAAGUCUAUCAAAAUUUUGUUAUGCAUUUGGGAAAUCCUCCUGUUAUUAUGAUCUAACUUCAGACAUGUAAAAGAAGUGAAACUGCAGCUUUAGUAAACUAAAGAAUGUAAAUUUUCAAGAUC